Molecule: ribosomal RNA, 440 nt
Filed under: uncultured bacterium
Lineage: Bacteria
Description: partial 16S ribosomal RNA
Rfam family: Bacterial small subunit ribosomal RNA
Source: RNAcentral
CCUACGGGAGGCUGCAGUAGGGAAUUUUGCGCAAUGGGCGAAAGCCUGACGCAGCAACGCCGCGUGAUCGAGACGCCCUUCGGGGUGUAACGAUCUGUCAGUGGGGACGAAACUUGACGGUACCCACAGAGGACGCACCGGCUAACUCCGUGCCAGCAGCCGCGGUGAUACGGGGGGUGCAAGCGUUGUCCGGACUCCUUGGGCGUAAAGAGUUCGUAGGCUGCACGUCAAGUCUGGUGUUAAAGGCAGAGGCUCAACUUCUGUACGGCACUGGAUACUUGCGAGCUAGAAUGCGGUAGUGGUAAAGGGAAUUCCUGGUGGAGCGGUGAAAUGCUUAGAUAUCAGGAGGAACAUCGGUGGCGUAAGCGCUUUACUGGGCCGUAAUGGACGCGGAGGAACGAAAGCCAGGGUAGCAAAUGGGAUGAGAGACCCCAGUAGUC